This is a non-coding RNA of Paramuricea clavata, 321 nucleotides long. The record is from the annotation of a GenBank genome assembly. NCBI's taxonomy places the organism in Eukaryota, Metazoa, Cnidaria, Anthozoa, Malacalcyonacea, Plexauridae.
AAUAGGCAAUUCCAGCUUUUAGUUUAUGCGUGCAGGGGGCGAUUGGAAGUAAGGCAUCAUAUUGCUGAUUGUGCUGAAAAAAUAAAAAUGGCGACCGUGUAAACACAGAGUGACAGCUUAUACUUGUAAAUAUUGAAAUAUUUCUGUUGUUUCGGCAGUUUUUAUUCAAAUUUUUCAGCAUAAUCAGCAAUAUGACACCUUACUUCCCAUCAUCCCCUUUACCUAAUUUAUAGCCUACCGAUGUUUUCAUGUUUGUAAAAUUAUUGUAACACCUUUGUUACACAGUUAUUCAGCUACCAUGCUCCCCCCCCCCCCCUCCCC